CUCGCCGCGCGCGCGUUCCGUGUUACUGCGCAUGCGCUCGGAACCUCCGCUCCUUGCCUGGUAACGUUCCAGGCACUCGCCUCGGCAGUUGGCGGGAGCUCCCCCUGCGCGGGCGGCUGUCACUUUCGCACGUCAUUAAACGUCACACAGCCAUGACGUCCAUUUAAGACCUAAUUAUGUCCCUGUUCUGGUAUCACACUCCAGAGAGUAAUCAAGAAUCGGCUAUUGAACACAAGCUAGAUGGUUCAUCACUAUGAUUCUUACCAAAACGAGGUGCAUGUCCCAUUUGCAAGUGUGUUGCAUGUGAGAAAAUAAGGGACUUCUUCAGAGGACCAAUGAAGGAGCACACCGCCAAAUGGAAAACGGAAGUGACUGGAAAUGGAGUAGUGGCUAUUGCCCUUCUAAAGGAAUAUUCACGUGUCACAGACCAACGGAUAAAAGUAGUUCUGGAUGACAUGCAGAGCAUGCUGAAGGCAACGAGUUACCUACAUUUGUAACAUGCCAGGAGCAAACAGGAUCAAUGACUACAAUUCUGUGGAAGCCAAUUGAUAAUUAGUGUCAUUUAUGUGCAUCAAGCUUAUAUUCCUACAUCACGCACUUCUAGGACAAGGAGUAACAGUAGAGCAGAGUCACUUUGUGUCACACAUACAGAUGAAACAAGUGAUAAAAAAAACAGCCUUCUUUGGUGCAUAGAUUUUUUUAUAUAUAUAUAUAUUCUGCCUGCAAAGGUGAAACAAAUGGAAGCUGACAUCUCAAUCAAAAACAGUUUUUAGCUGCUUGUGAAUUACAGUACUCUAAGAUUUUAUUUUCUUGUAGCUGAACUUUAACUCUGGGUUUCCAGGAUUGGUAGCUUUGAUAUCAGAGGCUAGAGAAGAAAUAUAAUAUCCAUCUGCAACCUUAACAUCACCUUCACAUAGAUUUAUGUUUUUUUGGUGGAGAGGAACAAACAUUUAAGUGUGUGUGCAUGUGUGUGUGUGCGUGCACAUGAACCUCCCCCCCCCUUUUUUUUUUAAUGUCAGGAAUGUGUUUUUGCAAUGCAUUUAGAUCAUGAUAAUUACCAAAAUUAAUAGUAACUACUGUUCCCAGAAUUCCAAUUUAACAGCACCUUCUUCCUUUAGUUAUGUAGACCCAUAUAUUUGUCUAUGUGCAUUUGAAUUUGUUUCAUUAGCUGUUCUCUGUGAACCUCCAUAAAAUCAUGUUGGGUGCAUCAGAUAUACUGGGUGCAUCUACACAUGCAAUUAAUGCAACUAAAUAUACUCCAGCUCAAUUUAAGAUGGAGUGAACUAAUCCCAAUGUCGCCAUCUACAGGUGUGUUUAAUCACAGUAAUUAAUUGUGCUGCCAGAUGCCACUUGUAUGUGAUAGGAGUAUCCAGCAGCAUAGUCCAUUAGUCUACUGCACCCUAAUUGCUGUGUAUGUGUAGAUAGUGCUGCUUUACUGCGCAACAAAUUAGUCUGCUGCACAUAAAAGUAUUUUGUGUAGACAUGUCCACUAAGAAGUAAGCAAGGACACAUUAUUGGCACUGUGCAGUUAAAGAAGGAAGUAAUGUUGCAUUUUGUUGGACACUGCCAUCCCAACAGCCAAUGACAUUUUGUUUCACAAAACAAUUGCUUGUGCUGUCUCCAAGAAACUCCUUGCAUUUUAUUUCUAGCUUGGAAGAGAAAAAAAAAAUAUUUGCCUUUAGUAAAUAUAGAACCCUCCAAAGCAGUUUCAUAGGAGCCUUUUGUUGAGCAAUAAUGUAAAUAUUAUCUCAAAUGUAAACAGCUCUCAAAUGUACCAGUUGUACCACAGUUCUGUCCUCUGAUUUAUUUUGAGCCUGGGAAAAAAAAAAAAAAAUGUUGCCUUCUUUACUGAGAUUACUGUGUAGUCUGGGCCAGUAUUAGCAACUAUGCCAAACCUGGGAAACAUUUGCCACCAACCUUUCCCACUUCUAAACCAGGAACAAAAACAAACCGUUGAAUCUCUCCAAAAGUAUAAGCUCAUUCUUUUGCACCAGGCACAUGAUCCAUUUUGCACUGAUAUGAAUGGAAGGCAUUUCCGUUUUCAAGGUCUUGCCCUUCAGCUUUAUAGGGAAUGGUGUUCACAAAAAUAUAGGUUAAACCUUCAGAUGAUUGGACCCCUGAAGGAACCACCACCUGGUUAAAGCAGCCAUGCCCAGGUCUAUCACAACAUGGGGUGGCCACCGUUCCUUCCUUGACCUUCCUUUUGAACACCUGUGCUUCUUCUCAAGCAAUCACUGUACCAAAAUUUGUCCCUCUGGGUUGCGUGCCUACAAGUAGCUAGGCUAGCAACACCAGACAGCUACUGUUUCAGACUGAGACUUAGAUCCAGGUUUCUGCAGAAAAAGGCAAACACUGGAUGAAGCAUGAUAUAAAGGGCCAGAAGGAAAAAAAAAAAAGAGAGAAAGAGUACAGAUCGCACAGAUGAACCACUGAAGCCACAAACCAUUGUGAAUAUGCUGUCAAUUGUACCUGCUUUAAGCUCAGCUAUUUCAAACUGAUCAAAGUGGUUAUGGUACUACCUGGCAGCCUAUCUAAACUAGGCCUCCCAACAUUAGAAGAGUCAGGACAGCUCUAGAGUAGAUGGAGACUUAGGAAGCACUGUUCGCUGUAGCUGUAACUGAUUUGCUUAUAAAUCAAAGGAUAUGGUUAAGUUGUGUUUUCUUUUUUCUUGUUUGUACUCAAAGGUAAAAAGCCCUGGAAAGCCAAGUAUAAAUCAACUUCAGAAGGGUGAAUCUUUUGUUCAUUUGUUUUAAAUUUUACUGUUUAAUAAAUCACCAAAAUCAAAGUAGUCCUAUGUAGGCCUUUAAUGGACUAUUUAGCAGGCCUAUAGACAAGAGCCACCUAUACAUGGGCUCCAGGGGGGUGGGUUAGAGUAACUCUCAGGAGCCACUUUAAUUAACAUGCCUGCAAUAUCUUGUGUAUUCAGCAUGUGCAUUUCAGAAUAUCAGUGGGGGCGCUUUGACUAAAGUUAAUUGAAUUAGCUUUAGUUAAAGUGCUCCUGCUGCCAUUUUGAAAGACAGGGACUCUGGAUACACGAGACACUGCAGCACACUGAAGUAUUCUGAUUACUGCAAUCAAGUCGGGUCUGCUCCAACACAUUCUAAUUGGAACAUGUCAGAGCACGUGUAAAAGUGCCCAGAAGUGGUUAAUGCCAUUCAGUAUAUAUUUGUAAAUAGCUGGGUUUGGAAAAAGGACCUCAUGAAAUGUUUAGACAAUAGCUUUCAUCCAUUCUACUGUAUUUAAAGUCCAUUUGUUAAUUGAGAGUCCAUCUUCUUAACAGCAUGUGUACACAUGACAUCUGCAAAUAUUUUAUCUAUUGUUAUAAGCUAUGAGAUAUUGGUGAAUUGCAGAGCGCCACAGAUAAGAAUGGAAGUUUAAAACAAAUAAACAAACAGACUUGUAGGUUACUUCUGUUUUGAUGGUUUAAAAAAAAAAAAAAAUCCCACACAAUAGAAGGUUUUGGAAGAGGUAAAAUUAAGUUUAUUCUUUUAACACAGAAACAGGAAAAACAGAGAAGGUGGAAAGGGAGAAAAGGAAGAAAUAUAAGUUAAAACAUAAGAGGUUUAUGGAGCAUGGAUCUGUGUAGCAGGUACUCUGACAUCAUGCAUUCUGACUUUAUAAGACUUCAAUUUCUGAUUAUUGCUUUGCUGAUGAAUUCUUCUAAUUUUUGUGCCAAAUGGAUAUGGUGUAAUAAUACACCAGGGCAAGUUCUGCUGUUUCACCUUAGGAGAUUUUUCAUUUGUGUUGCCCGGUUGGAGCAAAACAAAGACUUUUUGUUCUUAUGCCUUCAAUUUAAAUGCGAGUCCAGAAGACACCUCAUAUCCCUACGUAUCUAUCCUGAGGCACAUUGCUGAGGGAUCUUCAGCUUCUUUUACGAUUCUAAUAGACCUCCGAACAAGCAGCAGUAUAUGAUAAAGCAGAUUUCCUGCAGGGUUCCCACAAAAACUUCUAAGCAGGAAUUUCAUUUUCAGUGAUCUCCCUUUCUUCUUAGCUAAAAGCUACAAAUUCAGAAUUUAUAAUGGAAUCAAAAGGACCCAUUUUUUUCUCCACUUCUAAUUGUCAGAAAAGACAAUAUAGCAAACUUAUACUAAGGUAAUCUUUGUAUACAUUUGAAAACUGAAAUUUUCUGGAGGCAUGAGACACAGUUUUAAAUAAAUAACCUAAU
Molecule: long non-coding RNA, 4165 nt
Organism: Alligator mississippiensis (American alligator)
Lineage: Eukaryota; Metazoa; Chordata; Crocodylia; Alligatoridae
Exons: 4
Source: RefSeq, a predicted model, not a curated record